GGAACCGGCUGCAACAUGCAAAGGUUCAAACUUGUUAUUAGUGAUAUUAAAAUCCCAAUUUAAACUAUAAGAUGUACAAAAUUGCUUCUAAUGGAAGCUAACAAAAAUAGAUAUCAAAUGUAAUCUUGGAAGUGAAAACAAAACAUAUAUUACUGAGAGAAGUUGGCUGGAUGUGGAGACAGAAAAUAAAAUAGCACAAGAGGCAAAGAUA
Molecule: unclassified non-coding RNA, 211 nt
Filed under: Hevea brasiliensis (rubber tree)
Lineage: Eukaryota; Viridiplantae; Streptophyta; Magnoliopsida; Malpighiales; Euphorbiaceae
Source: RNAcentral